RNAcentral lists this ribosomal RNA (253 nucleotides) under uncultured bacterium. RNAcentral describes it as "partial 16S ribosomal RNA". It matches the Rfam family "Bacterial small subunit ribosomal RNA", at positions 524 to 776 of the family's 1533-position model. The record is from RNAcentral.
UACAGAGGUCUCAAGCGUUGUUCGGAUUCAUUGGGCGUAAAGGGUGUGUAGGCGGCGCGGUAAGUCGGGUGUGAAAUCUCGGAGCUUAACUCCGAAACUGCAUUCGAUACUGCCGUGCUUGAGGACUGGAGAGGAGACUGGAAUUUACGGUGUAGCGGUGAAAUGCGUAGAUAUCGUAAGGAAGACCAGUGGCGAAGGCGAGUCUCUGGACAGUUCCUGACGCUGAGGCACGAAGGCCAGGGGAGCAAACGGG